This 486-nucleotide long non-coding RNA is filed under the name Homo sapiens (human). RNAcentral's name for it is "HSALNT0306015". Lineage: Eukaryota; Metazoa; Chordata; Mammalia; Primates; Hominidae. The record is from RNAcentral.
ACUCUGGUAGAUAGAUCCCUAUUUCAAAAAUGAGUGAAUUAGGGUUCAGGGAAGUGAAACCUGUGUGCCGGCUGGGGACUGACAGUUGGAACCCCAAUGUACAAAUGAAACCAGGGAACAGUGGGUGUGACGAGCACUUGAGGAGCGACAGAGAGUUAUGACCUCGAACCCACAAGUGAGACUGCAAACACAAGUAAGGACUUCGUGACCAAAAACUCAAAAGCAAAUGCAACAAAAACAAAGAUAAAUAGAUGGGACUUAAUUAAACUAAAAAGCUUCUGCACAGCAAAAGAAAUAAUCAGCAGAGUAAACAGGCAACCAUGGAGUGGGAUAAAUCUUCACAACCUAGACAUCUGACAAAAGACUAAUAUCCAGAAUCUACAAGGAACUCAAACAAAUCAGCAAGAAGAAAACCAAACAAUCCCAUCAAAAAGUGGGCUAAUGACAUGAAUAGACAAUUCUCAAAAGAAGAUACACAAAUGUCCA